This 2927-nucleotide ribosomal RNA is filed under the name Salmonella enterica subsp. enterica serovar Blegdam str. S-1824. RNAcentral describes it as "bacterial LSU rRNA". It matches the Rfam family "Bacterial large subunit ribosomal RNA". Lineage: Bacteria; Pseudomonadati; Pseudomonadota; Gammaproteobacteria; Enterobacterales; Enterobacteriaceae. The record is from RNAcentral.
GGGUUGUGAGGUUAAGCGACUAAGCGUACACGGUGGAUGCCCUGGCAGUCAGAGGCGAUGAAGGGCGUGCUAAUCUGCGAUAAGCGCCGGUAAGGUGAUAUGAACCGUUAUAACCGGCGAUACCCGAAUGGGGAAACCCAGUGUGAUUCGUCACACUAUCAUUAACUGAAUCCAUAGGUUAAUGAGGCGAACCGGGGGAACUGAAACAUCUAAGUACCCCGAGGAAAAGAAAUCAACCGAGAUUCCCCCAGUAGCGGCGAGCGAACGGGGAGGAGCCCAGAGCCUGAAUCAGCAUGUGUGUUAGUGGAAGCGUCUGGAAAGGCGCGCGAUACAGGGUGACAGCCCCGUACACAAAAGCGCAUGUGCUGUGAGCUCGAUGAGUAGGGCGGGACACGUGGUAUCCUGUCUGAAUAUGGGGGGACCAUCCUCCAAGGCUAAAUACUCCUGACUGACCGAUAGUGAACCAGUACCGUGAGGGAAAGGCGAAAAGAACCCCGGCGAGGGGAGUGAAAAAGAACCUGAAACCGUGUACGUACAAGCAGUGGGAGCACAGGUUUACCUGUGUGACUGCGUACCUUUUGUAUAAUGGGUCAGCGACUUAUAUUCUGUAGCAAGGUUAACCGAAUAGGGGAGCCGGAGGGAAACCGAGUCUUAAUUGGGCGUUAAGUUGCAGGGUAUAGACCCGAAACCCGGUGAUCUAGCCAUGGGCAGGUUGAAGGUUGGGUAACACUAACUGGAGGACCGAACCGACUAAUGUUGAAAAAUUAGCGGAUGACCUGUGGCUGGGGGUGAAAGGCCAAUCAAACCGGGAGAUAGCUGGUUCUCCCCGAAAGCUAUUUAGGUAGCGCCUCGUGAAUUCAUCUCCGGGGGUAGAGCACUGUUUCGGCUAGGGGGCCAUCCCGGCUUACCAACCCGAUGCAAACUGCGAAUACCGGAGAAUGUUAUCACGGGAGACACACGGCGGGUGCUAACGUCCGUCGUGAAGAGGGAAACAACCCAGACCGCCAGCUAAGGUCCCAAAGUCAUGGUUAAGUGGGAAACGAUGUGGGAAGGCCCAGACAGCCAGGAUGUUGGCUUAGAAGCAGCCAUCAUUUAAAGAAAGCGUAAUAGCUCACUGGUCGAGUCGGCCUGCGCGGAAGAUGUAACGGGGCUAAACCAUGCACCGAAGCUGCGGCAGCGACGCUGAUGCGUUGUUGGGUAGGGGAGCGUUCUGUAAGCCUGCGAAGGUGGCCUGUGAGGGUUGCUGGAGGUAUCAGAAGUGCGAAUGCUGACAUAAGUAACGAUAAAGCGGGUGAAAAGCCCGCUCGCCGGAAGACCAAGGGUUCCUGUCCAACGUUAAUCGGGGCAGGGUGAGUCGACCCCUAAGGCGAGGCCGAAAGGCGUAGUCGAUGGGAAACGGGUUAAUAUUCCCGUACUUGGUGUUACUGCGAAGGGGGGACGGAGAAGGCUAUGUUGGCCGGGCGACGGUUGUCCCGGUUUAAGCGUGUAGGCUGGUUUUCCAGGCAAAUCCGGAAAAUCAAGGCUGAGGCGUGAUGACGAGGCACUACGGUGCUGAAGCAACAAAUGCCCUGCUUCCAGGAAAAGCCUCUAAGCAUCAGGUAACAUCAAAUCGUACCCCAAACCGACACAGGUGGUCAGGUAGAGAAUACCAAGGCGCUUGAGAGAACUCGGGUGAAGGAACUAGGCAAAAUGGUGCCGUAACUUCGGGAGAAGGCACGCUGACACGUAGGUGAAGUGAUUUACUCAUGGAGCUGAAGUCAGUCGAAGAUACCAGCUGGCUGCAACUGUUUAUUAAAAACACAGCACUGUGCAAACACGAAAGUGGACGUAUACGGUGUGACGCCUGCCCGGUGCCGGAAGGUUAAUUGAUGGGGUCAGCGCAAGCGAAGCUCCUGAUCGAAGCCCCGGUAAACGGCGGCCGUAACUAUAACGGUCCUAAGGUAGCGAAAUUCCUUGUCGGGUAAGUUCCGACCUGCACGAAUGGCGUAAUGAUGGCCAGGCUGUCUCCACCCGAGACUCAGUGAAAUUGAACUCGCUGUGAAGAUGCAGUGUACCCGCGGCAAGACGGAAAGACCCCGUGAACCUUUACUAUAGCUUGACACUGAACAUUGAGCCUUGAUGUGUAGGAUAGGUGGGAGGCUUUGAAGUGUGGACGCCAGUCUGCAUGGAGCCGACCUUGAAAUACCACCCUUUAAUGUUUGAUGUUCUAACGUGGACCCGUUACCCGGGUUGCGGACAGUGUCUGGUGGGUAGUUUGACUGGGGCGGUCUCCUCCUAAAGAGUAACGGAGGAGCACGAAGGUUGGCUAAUCCUGGUCGGACAUCAGGAGGUUAGUGCAAUGGCAUAAGCCAGCUUGACUGCGAGCGUGACGGCGCGAGCAGGUGCGAAAGCAGGUCAUAGUGAUCCGGUGGUUCUGAAUGGAAGGGCCAUCGCUCAACGGAUAAAAGGUACUCCGGGGAUAACAGGCUGAUACCGCCCAAGAGUUCAUAUCGACGGCGGUGUUUGGCACCUCGAUGUCGGCUCAUCACAUCCUGGGGCUGAAGUAGGUCCCAAGGGUAUGGCUGUUCGCCAUUUAAAGUGGUACGCGAGCUGGGUUUAGAACGUCGUGAGACAGUUCGGUCCCUAUCUGCCGUGGGCGCUGGAGAACUGAGGGGGGCUGCUCCUAGUACGAGAGGACCGGAGUGGACGCAUCACUGGUGUUCGGGUUGUCAUGCCAAUGGCACUGCCCGGUAGCUAAAUGCGGAAGAGAUAAGUGCUGAAAGCAUCUAAGCACGAAACUUGCCCCGAGAUGAGUUCUCCCUGAGACUUAAAGUCUCCUGAAGGAACGUUGAAGACGACGACGUUGAUAGGCCGGGUGUGUAAGCGCAGCGAUGCGUUGAGCUAACCGGUACUAAUGAACCGUGAGGCUUAACCUUACAACGCCGAAG